UGUGUUGCUGAGAACCCACAGCUUCUCUGGGCUCUGGGUGUCUUGUAUUUGAGAAGCAGCAGAUAUUAAAUGCAGGGAAGAAGUUGCUUGCCAAGCUGGCAAGGCAGGAGAAAAGUGAAGCUUUGGAUGCUGCAGAUGCGCCGGCACCAGAGCCAUUUGUCUCGGAGACUGACCAAUGGGGGUUUAAAUCUGCCACCGAUGCUGCUGGUCCCCACCCCACCUCGUCAGCCGUCCCCGCGUGGAUGCAGCAGGAGGAGUCCAAAGAAAGCGAGGCAGCAGUCACCAGCUCAGAAGAACAUGAAGAUGCCUCAGUGGAGAAAGAGACAUUGCUGCUUUCUUCUUCCCUUCUUCCAGCAGAAGCAGCACAGGAAGGGAACACUCAAGGUUUGAUACCUGUGGCUGCGUGGAUCGUGGUAUUUGCCAUCUCUGUGUUUGUCAUCUUCGUGCCUGUAGUUAAUGGAUGGUAAUCCAACCAGUCUGCUCAUAAACCUCAUCCUGGGAAGAAAAUAAAAACAGUGUCCUCAUGAUAUAAGCCGUGUUG
Molecule: long non-coding RNA, 541 nt
Filed under: Calidris pugnax (ruff)
Lineage: Eukaryota; Metazoa; Chordata; Aves; Charadriiformes; Scolopacidae
Description: lncRNA (ENSCPUG00000014128.1)
Source: RNAcentral